RNAcentral lists this unclassified non-coding RNA (200 nucleotides) under Lepiota sp. Its description in RNAcentral is "partial internal transcribed spacer 2". Lineage: Eukaryota; Fungi; Basidiomycota; Agaricomycetes; Agaricales; Agaricaceae. The record is from RNAcentral.
UUAAGUUCAGCGGGUAGUCCUACCUGAUUUGAGGCCAAGCAUUCAUAAAUUUGUCCAUGUAAAGGACAAUUAGAAGCUGAACAAACGAGAGCGUUCAUCUAUCGUUGGCACAGAUAAUUAUCACACCAGUGACAGACCGCAAACGGUUCCGCUAAUGCAUUUCAGGGGAGCUGACCUCAAUAAUAAGAGGCCCGCAACAC